UGGGAUGACGUCAAGUCCUCAUGGCCUUUAUGCUUAGGGCUACACACGUGCUACAAUGGGUGGUACAAAGAGAAGCCAACUCGCGAGAGCGCGCCAAUCUCAAAAAGCCAUCCUCAGUUCGGAUUGGAGUCUGCAACUCGACUCCAUGAAGUUGGAAUCGCUAGUAAUCGCGGAUCAGCAUGCCGCGGUCGAAUACGUUCCCGGGCCUU
RNAcentral lists this ribosomal RNA (209 nucleotides) under uncultured Smithella sp. RNAcentral describes it as "partial 16S ribosomal RNA". It matches the Rfam family "Bacterial small subunit ribosomal RNA", at positions 1175 to 1382 of the family's 1533-position model. Lineage: Bacteria; Pseudomonadati; Thermodesulfobacteriota; Syntrophia; Syntrophales; Smithellaceae. The record is from RNAcentral.